UGAGGGCCGGGAGCGCGGCGGGGGGAUAGAGCCGCUGAAGAGGCAGACUCACCUAUCUACCCGCCCGCUCGUCCGUAUUAACCGAGGGUCUUGUUUACAGACAGUUAUUGUUUCACUCUGAUGCUUUUGCCAAAUAUGUUUCAUCUUCAGAGAAAUUCAUGGAAAGGACUCUGGCGCUCACUCUAGAAUACAGGCUUCUGAUAAACUUUCAGAUCAGAAAACUGAACUGGGACAUGAUUGGAAACACUGGUUAUAUUACCAAAGCUUUGACUGGAAUGCCAUAUUUGAGAGAAACAUGCACAGACUCAGAUAUGACCAGACAGCUUUUCAGAGACAAAGAUUGGACUUUAUGGAAUAAAGUCACUUGGAAAUAUUGGCCUGGUACCUUGUUUACAGCUUUCCCAGCAGCCUUACUGGAAUCACUGAGAGAUGAACCUGCCCUUUUUCCUAAAGCCUUGUAAACUGAAGCUGGUGGACUUGAUAUAAACUUAAGAGAGAUUCAUGUCUGUUGCCAUGUAAGCCACUCAGACAGAUACCUGAAUACCUGAUGACUUCAUCAGAAAUGUUUCAAACUACAAGAAAUGCUUUGACUGUGACAUCUAGAAAUCUUUUUGACCAGCUGCACCCUGUUCUCAGAAACUGGUUUAUAAUUUGCUCCCACCAUUAACUUUGUUUUUCUUUUUGUCUUAUUAAUUACCUGGUUACUUGCUUCCACAAUAUAGGCCAAAUUUUGGGAGCCCACCUGCAUCACCAUCUUCCUAAAAGACUGGUUCAAUAAGAUGGAACAACAGGAUGUCUCACAAGAUUGAGGGAUUAAACAACAAAAGGGGGGAAAUUGAUACCAGCUCAAGACAAGGUUGACAUAAAGGAAGCCAUAUUGUAGAAAAGAAGCCCUAUUGUAACUUUGAAUGACCUCUGACUAACUAACCCAGCUGGAUAUGCACUCUCCAGGAGAUCUAACUGCUCUGUAGAUUUUACAACCCCUGCUUGUGCAUGUACUUCCCAGCUGUGAUAAGAUGCUAACUUUGUCCUUUUGCAUUCCUUAGGAAUAUGAGGACCUCUGAACAGAAAGUCUAUGUUGAUAGCCAUCAUAAAUGAAAACUGAAAGAUCUGGUGUGGGGACUCCCAGUCUGUAACACCAGGGGGUCAACAUUCCUAACUCCCUCCCCUGUAACCCACCAGCCUAUAUAACUGCUGUAAGAUUUUGUGUUCACUUAAGAUGGUUCUUUCGGACGUUAGUUGGCCAUGUUCCCUCUUGCUAGCAAGCUGUAAUAAAAUGCCCU
This is a long non-coding RNA of Diceros bicornis minor, 1283 nucleotides long. RefSeq lists it as uncharacterized. The transcript has 4 exons. The record is from RefSeq and is a predicted model, not a curated record. NCBI's taxonomy places the organism in Eukaryota, Metazoa, Chordata, Mammalia, Perissodactyla, Rhinocerotidae.